RNAcentral lists this signal recognition particle RNA (296 nucleotides) under Aotus nancymaae (Ma's night monkey). RNAcentral's name for it is "Metazoan signal recognition particle RNA (ENSANAG00000005993.1)". It matches the Rfam family "Metazoan signal recognition particle RNA". Rfam says of the family: The signal recognition particle (SRP) is a universally conserved ribonucleoprotein. It is involved in the co-translational targeting of proteins to membranes. Lineage: Eukaryota; Metazoa; Chordata; Mammalia; Primates; Aotidae. The record is from RNAcentral.
GCCAGGCACAGUGGCUUGCCUGUAGUCCCACUACUUGGAAGGCUGAGGUGGGAGGAUUGCUUGAGCCCAAGAGUUCUGGGUUGUAGUGUGCUAUGCCAGUCAGGUGUCCACACUAAGUUCGGCAUCAAUAUGGUGACCUCCCAGGAGCGGGAGACCACCAGGUUGCCUAAGGAGGGGUGAACCAGCCCAGGUCAGAAUCGGAGCAGGUCAAAACUCCUGUGCUGAUCAGUAGUGGGAUCGCACCUGUGAAUAGCCACUGCACUCCAGCCUGGGCAACAUAGCGAGACCCCAUCUCU